This 253-nucleotide ribosomal RNA is filed under the name uncultured bacterium. RNAcentral describes it as "partial 16S ribosomal RNA". It matches the Rfam family "Bacterial small subunit ribosomal RNA", at positions 524 to 776 of the family's 1533-position model. The record is from RNAcentral.
UACGUAGGGUGCGAGCGUUAAUCGGAAUUACUGGGCGUAAAGCGUGCGUAGGCGGUCCGCGAAGUCUGAUGUGAAAGCCCCGGGCUCAACCUGGGAACUGCAUUGGAAACUAACGGGCUCGAGUGUGGCAGAGGGGGGUGGAAUUCCACGUGUAGCAGUGAAAUGCGUAGAGAUGUGGAGGAACACCGAUGGCGAAGGCAGCCCCCUGGGCUAUAACUGACGCUCAUGCACGAAAGCGUGGGGAGCAAACAGG